This 497-nucleotide ribosomal RNA is filed under the name uncultured bacterium. RNAcentral describes it as "partial 16S ribosomal RNA". It matches the Rfam family "Bacterial small subunit ribosomal RNA", at positions 28 to 507 of the family's 1533-position model. The record is from RNAcentral.
GAUGAACGCUGGCGGCGUGCCUAAUACAUGCAAGUCGAGCGAACGGACGAGACGCUUGCUUCUCUGAUGUUAGCGGCGGACGGGUGAGUAACACGUGUAUACCCUACCUAUCAGACUGGGAUAACUUCGGGAAACCGGAGCUAAUACCGGAUAAUAUUUUGAACCGCAUGGUUCAAAAGUGAAAGACGGUCUUGCUGUCACUUCUAGAUGGAUCCGCGCUGCAUUAGCUAGUUGGUACGGUAACGGCUUACCAAGGCAACGAUGCAUAGCCGACCUGUGAGGGUGAUCGGCCACACUGGAACUGAGCCGCGCUCAAGACUACUACGGGAGGCCGCAGUAGGGAAUGGUCCGCAAUGGGCGAAAGUCUGACGGAGCAACGGCACGUGAGUGAUGAAGGUGCUCGGAGCGUAAAGCUCGGUUAUUAGGGAAGAACAUAUGUGGAAGGAGACGUGCACAGCUUGACGGUACCUAAUCAGAAAGCCACGGCUAACUACGUG